This 71-nucleotide transfer RNA is filed under the name archaeon CG06_land_8_20_14_3_00_37_11. RNAcentral's name for it is "tRNA-Cys". It matches the Rfam family "tRNA". From Rfam's summary of the family: Transfer RNA (tRNA) molecules are approximately 80 nucleotides in length. Their secondary structure includes four short double-helical elements and three loops (D, anti-codon, and T loops). RNAcentral also lists the same sequence under 2 other names. The record is from RNAcentral.
GGCGGGUUGACAGAGCGGCCAUGUACUCGGCUGCAGACCGGGUUAGAAGGGUUCAACUCCCUUACCCGCCU